RNAcentral lists this ribosomal RNA (199 nucleotides) under uncultured bacterium. RNAcentral describes it as "partial 16S ribosomal RNA". It matches the Rfam family "Bacterial small subunit ribosomal RNA", at positions 334 to 525 of the family's 1533-position model. The record is from RNAcentral.
GACUCCUACGGGAGGCAGCAGUGGGGAAUUUUGGACAAUGGACGCAAGUCUGAUCCAGCCAUUCCGCGUGCAGGACGAAGGCCUUCGGGUUGUAAACUGCUUUUGUACGGAACGAAAAGGUUUCUAUUAAUACUAGGAGCUCAUGACGGUACUGUAAGAAUAAGCACCGGCUAACUACGUGCCAGCAGCCGCGGUAAUA